RNAcentral lists this ribosomal RNA (100 nucleotides) under Bacillus anthracis (anthrax bacterium). RNAcentral describes it as "partial 23S ribosomal RNA". It matches the Rfam family "Bacterial large subunit ribosomal RNA", at positions 2828 to 2925 of the family's 2925-position model. Lineage: Bacteria; Bacillati; Bacillota; Bacilli; Caryophanales; Bacillaceae. RNAcentral also lists the same sequence under 14 other names. The record is from RNAcentral.
UAAGAUCCCUGAAAGAUGAUCAGGUUGAUAGGUUCGAGGUGGAAGCAUGGUGACAUGUGGAGCUGACGAAUACUAAUAGAUCGAGGACUUAACCAUAUAA